UACGUAGGGGGCAAGCGUUGUCCGGAAUUAUUGGGCGUAAAGGGCGCGUAGGCGGCCCUCCUAGUCGCGUGUGAAAGCCCCGGGCUCAACCUGGGAACGGCGCGCGAAACGGGGGGGCUGGAGUUCGGGAGAGGAGCGUGGAAUUCCCAGUGUAGAGGUGAAAUUCGUAGAUAUUGGGAAGAACACCGGUGGCGAAGGCGGCGCUCUGGACCGAGACUGACGCUGAGGCGCGAAAGCGUGGGGAGCGAACAGG
RNAcentral lists this ribosomal RNA (253 nucleotides) under uncultured bacterium. Its description in RNAcentral is "partial 16S ribosomal RNA". It matches the Rfam family "Bacterial small subunit ribosomal RNA", at positions 524 to 776 of the family's 1533-position model. The record is from RNAcentral.